GCAUAAUGCAAAUGUCAUGUGAGUCAACAGCAAACAGAGUAGUCUACCAUGAUCACAACUGAUCACUCCAAUAUCAGUCAUUCUUCAAACGUGAAGAAAAAUAACCACGAGUGCAUUUUACUAUUAAGUUCCCCUCUUACUGUCUUGAAACGGCUUUAUCUGGAUGGCUCUUCAGAGCCUCUUAAUCCAAAGAAGAAAUAUAAAGCAGGAAAACCAACUGCAUCACAAACAGCAAUCCAGCAUGGUAUCAGGUGUUAUCACCUUCUCAUUCACAAGAGUUCACUUUUCUUGUCUACAAUCUCUUCUCCUCCGUUUAAGCCUCAUACCUUCACAAAAGAGAAGAUAAGAAAUGAAGGAACUUGGUUUUUAUCAGAAACAGUGCAGUCAGCAGGAGCAGGGAGAUGAUCAUCUCCCUGUAAUUGGCACUGGUGAGGCUGUACCUAGAGCGCUCUGUUCAGUUUUGGGCCCCUCACAACAAGAAAGACAUUAAGAUCCUGUAGCGUGUCCAGAGAAGGGCAGUGGAGCUGUGAAGGAUCUGGAGCACAAGUCUUACAAGGAUGCCUCAGUCUGGAGGAGAGGAGGCUCAGGGGGACACCUUAUCACUCUCUGCAACGACCUGAAAGGAGGAUGUAGCGAGGUGGGGGUCAGCCUCUUCUGCCACCUAACAGUGAUAGGACGAGAGGUGAUGGCCUUAAGUUGCGCCAGGGGAGGAUCAGGUUGGAUAUUAGGAAAAAUUUCUUCUCAGAAAGAGUGGUGGGGCAUUGGCACAGGCUGCCCAGGGAGGUGGUGGAGUCACCAUCCCUGGAGGGGAUCAAGAACUGUGAAGAUGUGGCAUUUUAGGGACACUGUUUAGCGAUAUGAUGGUAAGAGGUAUACAGUUUUACUAGAUCAUCUUAGAAAUCUUUUGCAACCUGAAUGAUUCUACUAAACUAUGGAAAUAUUUAGAGCCAUAUUCUAGUCCUGCUUGUGCUGCUAGAAAGCUAAAUGCAAGCAGUCCAAACUGUGGCUGAGAACUGAACUCCAGCAGUACGUAGUAGGGAACAUUCCGCCCUGCCUGCAAAGCCACAUCCCACAGCUGCACCACCCAGGAGGAAGCAGCAUCCCAGCGUCCAGCUUCACACAGUCCUUGUUCAUGUCACCAGCUCAGUCUGAAGUGCCUACUUUUCACUGCACGAGGAUAAUCCUGGAAAAUAAUCCUGGAAAUGACUUCAUCAUCUGAAGUCUGGAAAAGAGCUAUAUGGUUUAAGUAGUAACCCUCGGCAUUUUAUUCCACAGGUACUUGUGCUCAUUACUACUCUCUUAAACAUUAUACAAUAAU
Molecule: long non-coding RNA, 1318 nt
Filed under: Numida meleagris (helmeted guineafowl)
Lineage: Eukaryota; Metazoa; Chordata; Aves; Galliformes; Numididae
Description: lncRNA (ENSNMEG00000021066.1)
Source: RNAcentral